AACGAACGCUGGCGGCAGGCCUAACACAUGCAAGUCGAGCGAGAUCUUCGGAUCUAGCGGCGGACGGGUGAGUAACGCGUGGGAAUAUGCCCUUCUCUACGGAAUAGCCCUGGGAAACUGGGAGUAAUACCGUAUACGCCCUUUGGGGGAAAGAUUUAUCGGAGAAGGAUUAGCCCGCGUUGGAUUAGGUAGUUGGUGGGGUAAUGGCCUACCAAGCCUACGAUCCAUAGCUGGUUUGAGAGGAUGAUCAGCCACACUGGGACUGAGACACGGCCCAGACUCCUACGGGAGGCAGCAGUGGGGAAUCUUAGACAAUGGGGGCAACCCUGAUCUAGCCAUGCCGCGUGAGUGAUGAAGGCCUUAGGGUUGUAAAGCUCUUUCAGCUGGGAAGAUAAUGACGUAC
This 403-nucleotide ribosomal RNA is filed under the name Paracoccus marcusii. Its description in RNAcentral is "bacterial SSU rRNA". It matches the Rfam family "Bacterial small subunit ribosomal RNA", at positions 29 to 459 of the family's 1533-position model. The record is from RNAcentral. Lineage: Bacteria; Pseudomonadati; Pseudomonadota; Alphaproteobacteria; Rhodobacterales; Paracoccaceae.